RNAcentral lists this long non-coding RNA (2184 nucleotides) under Mus musculus (house mouse). RNAcentral describes it as "long non-coding RNA chr18:65168061-65170245". Lineage: Eukaryota; Metazoa; Chordata; Mammalia; Rodentia; Muridae. The record is from RNAcentral.
UUUGUAUGAUUCCCAGGGCAGCAAUUAGGAUAUUUCAAUGAAAGUAUUUACAAUUGUUAUUAUUUUCUUAUUUUUGAUUGAUAGCAUUCAUGCUUGUGUAUAAUUUCGAUCUGACUAGUUGUUUUGUCGUGUCCUACUGACCCUUGAAGUCAGGCCACGCUGUAUUUGCUGAUUUGAGCUUACGUGACUCUCGGGAGAAGUGUCUUAAUUGUUUCACCUGUGCCGAGCAGGCGUGCUGAAGCUGCUUAUUAUUUGUGAAUAACUUUAACUACUUACACAAUAGCUGAUUUCCUAGAGGAAGUUUAGCACUCCGUGUUACACAAAGGACACUCAGAUAUGCAACCAGAGCAGUGAGCACGGCACUAGGCUGCUAAGCCGCUACAGUCAAGAACCGGAGGACCAGGCUCCACCUCCAGCUGAAGUCAAAGAAGUCUGCAGGCGUUAGUUGCACUCCUAUGGUUGUGCUGACACAGCCUACUCUGAGUAGUAGAGCCACAAGCAGACCAUUCCACUGGAUGGUUUGUCUGCCACCCAUAGUAUCCUCUGAGUGUAUCAUUCCUUGUUAUGUUUAAUUGGGUUUGCAACCUACUUAUAGCUGUGGAGUGUUAAUGAUGGCUCAUGGUAUCAAAAGACAGAGCAAACUGACUGUGGUAAAUAGUCACCCAAAAGGACAAAGUCAUUCGUCUGCAGGAGAACCCAUGUGCCUCUAGGGCUGCCCUUUCCAAGCCUUCCUCCCACCUGUGUUCUCCUCCAUCCAUGAAUAUGGUCUUUUACUUGCUUUGGUCUUUUAUUUUUGAAGCCCUAGCAGUGAUAGUUUCUAGAUGCUCCUACCAUGAUAUACCAUGCUUUCUUCAUACCUAGAUAGAUUUGGAAGGACCAUGUCCGUUUCUCUCCCGUCCUCUCUAUUUUCCGUUCUGCCUCCCAGAGUGACUUUACCCUUUGACCUCCUUUUUGAUGCAUAUGCCAGGCAGAAACUUCCUAUAAAGUAUCCCCUCACUCCAAUGCCCUCCCAAACAUACGUGUGCCAUGAUUAUACAUGCAGGCGCUGUUUAUUUGGGGGGGCGGAGGGGGGAACCAGCAUGAUGUUGCAUACAUUAUGCUCAGAAAACUAUUUUUAACUUAGGUUAGUUUUUCUCAGCUAUGUUAUUAAGCAUUCAGCAUUCAGCGGUGGAAGUACACCACAGUUUAUACACAUUUCCCAUGCUGACGGGCAUUCCCACACUGUCUACUAUGUGUGGUCACCGUCCUUCUAUGUAGCGCUCCUCCCAAAAGUGCUGAUCCUCGUCUGAGGAGUCCCGACCUUUUGAUUUAUGGCAGAAGCCUGCACACUAUGUCACUUUAUUACAGGCUGCACCAGGGUUCUCCCUUUCAGAUAGAAAGAGCGAGGGAGCAAAACCCUUUGAUCUUCACUGAAGAGAUUCUAAAAAUAUCCUGAGAUACCACUGUGGCUGGGUCUGGGUGAGUCAUGGAGCAUCUAUGAUGCUCAGUAUCAAAGGAUAGUCAGACUCCCUCAGUCUCGAUAUAAUCUGUUCUUCAUUGUAGUGAGCGGAUCCCAGCCUCCAUAAGGCUGGAGUGAGGGCCUAUUUGGAAUGAAAACGCCCAGCAGUGUAUAUAGUUUCGGAUGAAAACUCAAAUGUUAUGUUCAGCGUAUGUUUGGCUUACCUAACCUGUUUCUCGAGAUGAGCUGAUGCAUCAUUCACAUAGGUAAUAAAAGUCUAAUCAUUGGACCCAAGCCUGGGCCUCUUCCAAGAGCCGCCUGGAGAAGCUGAGUCUUGUCGUUGCUGGUCAUGUGCCCUGGGUGGCCGUGUUUUAGUAAUAGCCGGAAUCACUGGCACAAGUUGUUCUACAUGCUUGUCUUGAAAGGAUGCUGUCAGGUCGUAUUUUAAUAACAGCUUCUUGCAUAGAUGUGACUAAAUGACCAGUUGCCUAUUUAAUUCAUUUUAGACACAUUCAGAAUUCUUUCUGCUAGCCUCCUUUGUGUAACUAGUCAUGUUAUUGGUAGAGCUCCGGAGGUUGUUGCAGCUGACAGUUCAGUUCUGAGACUGUAACACAUCUAAGCAUUUAGGGAUGUCAGAAAGUAUCCAUUCCAAGAACAGACGUUGCCAUUGUUUGUUAAAGUCUCAAUGUUUCUAGACCUGUGUCUUCUGAGAACCUAUCAGAUGGCCUGUCCCUAAAACAUGACUC